UUGACCUCAAAUCGGGUGAGACUACCCGCUGAACUUAAGCAUAUCAAUAAGCGGAGGAAAAGAAACUAACAAGGAUUCCCCUAGUAACUGCGAGUGAAGCGGGAAAAGCUCAAAUUUAAAAUCUGGUGGCCAUCCGGCCAUCCGAGUUGUAAUCUAGAGAAGCGUCUUCCGCGCUGGACCAUGCACAAGUCUCCUGGAAUGGAGCGUCAUAGAGGGUGAGAAUCCCGUCUUUGGCAUGGAUGCACCAGGGCUUCUGUGAUGCGCUCUCGAAGAGUCGAGUUGUUUGGGAAUGCAGCUCAAAAUGGGUGGUGAACUCCAUCUAAAGCUAAAUACUGGCGAGAGACCGAUAGCGAACAAGUACCGUGAGGGAAAGAUGAAAAGCACUUUGGAAAGAGAGUGAAACAGUACGUGAAAUUGUUGAAAGGGAAACGCUUGAAGUCAGUCGCGUCGACCGAGACUCAGCCUUGCCUCGGCUUGGUGUACUUCUCGAUCGACGGGUCAGCAUCAAUUUUGCCCUUCGGAUAAUGACAAGGGAAAGGUAGCACCUUUACGGGUGUGUUAUAGUCUCUUGUCGGAUGCGAGGGUCGGGAUUGAGGGACUCAGCACGCGCCUUUUGGCGUCGGGGCUUCGGCCUACGUUUACGUGCUUAGGAUGCUGGCAUAAUGGCUUUAAACGACCCGUCUUGAAACACGGACCAAGGAGUCUAACAUGCCCGCGAGUGUUCGGGUGGAAAACCCGUGCGCGUAAUGAAAGUAAAAGUUGGGACCUUCGUCGUGGGGGGCACCGACGCCCGGACCAGACCUUCUGUGACGGAUCUGCGGUAGAGCGUGUAUGUUGGGACCCGAAAGAUGGUGAACUAUGCUUGAAUAGGGUGAAGCCAGAGGAAACUCUGGUGGAGGCUCGUAGCGAUUCUGACGUGCAAAUCGAUCGUCAAAUUUGGGUAUAGGGGCGAAAGACUAAUCGAACCAUCUAGUAGCUGGUUCCUGC
RNAcentral lists this ribosomal RNA (987 nucleotides) under Russula sp. RNAcentral's name for it is "partial large subunit ribosomal RNA". It matches the Rfam family "Eukaryotic large subunit ribosomal RNA", at positions 1 to 961 of the family's 3401-position model. The record is from RNAcentral. Lineage: Eukaryota; Fungi; Basidiomycota; Agaricomycetes; Russulales; Russulaceae.